Coffea arabica (coffee) is the source of this 719-nucleotide long non-coding RNA. RefSeq lists it as uncharacterized. NCBI's taxonomy places the organism in Eukaryota, Viridiplantae, Streptophyta, Magnoliopsida, Gentianales, Rubiaceae. The record is from RefSeq and is a predicted model, not a curated record.
AUAUAUAUAUUUUUAAAUUUUUAUGUUCUUUGAUUUUUGUUACUAUUUUUAUGCAUUUUUUUGAUUAGUUUUUUUUCCUCUUUGUAUUUCUUCCUGUUAAUGGUGAAUAAACUGAAAGUUGAUUUUUUGAAAUUUUGAUAUUGCAGAUUUAAAAUGCUCGAUUUGCCUAGAGUUCAGGUGGCAAGAAAGCUUUGAUUUUGAUGCCCAGAGUUAGAAAGCCUAAUUAUACCUUUGUAGAGAUACUGCUCUUCGUUUCCUGUUGCAAUACUUACCAGAAUAUGCAAAUCCAAGGUUAUUCUUCUGUGCUCAACAGAGGUUGUGCUGCAGCGAAGUUUAGCCCUUUUAUGUUACGGGAUUUGCUUGCCUGAAGUGUAGUGAAUUUGGGCAAUCCCUGAUAAGUCACCAAAGACUGAUGCAAUGAACAUACAAUCACUCUGCCAAACUGCCAGAGAAUAGUUACUCAUGAUUGCUGAGAAUGUUGAAGUGCAGGAUCAUGUGGUAGAGCAGCUAAGAAGGAGGAAUCUGUUGUGCUGUGUUAGGCAUUCAUGUAGUCUGAUUAGGAGUGCGACUCAAUGUUAAAUUGAUUAUUGCAAUUUUUUAAUCUGUUUAGUCUUUUUCUAGAGAACAGUUUAGUAGAUGUUUUUAGUUAAUGUGUAGAUAUCAUUCUUAUAAAGAAUUCAACCACAAAUAUUUUGUAGUAGUUAGGUUGUUGAUUAAUA